This 253-nucleotide ribosomal RNA is filed under the name uncultured bacterium. RNAcentral describes it as "partial 16S ribosomal RNA". It matches the Rfam family "Bacterial small subunit ribosomal RNA", at positions 524 to 776 of the family's 1533-position model. The record is from RNAcentral.
UACGUAGGGUGCAAGCGUUAAUCGGAAUUACUGGGCGUAAAGCGUGCGCAGGCGGUUUUGUAAGACCGAUGUGAAAUCCCCGGGCCUAACCUGGGAACUGCAUUGGUGACUGCAAGGCUUGAGUGUGUCAGAGGGAGGUGGAAUUCCGCGUGUAGCAGUGAAAUGCGUAGAUAUGCGGAGGAACACCGAUGGCGAAGGCAGCCUCCUGGGAUAACACUGACGCUCAUGCACGAAAGCGUGGGGAGCAAACAGG